RNAcentral lists this ribosomal RNA (507 nucleotides) under Aeromonas sp. AER10/VDL/07. RNAcentral describes it as "bacterial SSU rRNA". It matches the Rfam family "Bacterial small subunit ribosomal RNA", at positions 45 to 541 of the family's 1533-position model. Lineage: Bacteria; Pseudomonadati; Pseudomonadota; Gammaproteobacteria; Aeromonadales; Aeromonadaceae. The record is from RNAcentral.
GGCUACACAUGCAAGUCGAGCGGCAGCGGGAAAGUAGCUUGCUACUUUUGCCGGCGAGCGGCGGACGGGUGAGUAAUGCCUGGGAAAUUGCCCAGUCGAGGGGGAUAACAGUUGGAAACGACUGCUAAUACCGCAUACGCCCUACGGGGGAAAGCAGGGGACCUUCGGGCCUUGCGCGAUUGGAUAUGCCCAGGUGGGAUUACCUAGUUGGGGAGGUAAUGGCUCACCAAGGCGACGAUCCCUAGCUGGUCUGAGAGGAUGAUCAGCCACACUGGAACUGAGACACGGUCCAGACUCCUACGGGAGGCAGCAGUGGGGAAUAUUGCACAAUGGGGGAAACCCUGAUGCAGCCAUGCCGCGUGUGUGAAGAAGGCCUUCGGGUUGUAAAGCACUUUCAGCGAGGAGGAAAGGUUGAUGCCUAAUACGUAUCAACUGUGACGUUACUCGCAGAAGAAGCACCGGCUAACUCCGUGCCAGCAGCCGCGGUAAUACGGAGGGUGCAAGCGU